This is a long non-coding RNA of Cannabis sativa, 2025 nucleotides long. RefSeq lists it as uncharacterized. The transcript is spliced from 2 exons. The record is from RefSeq and is a predicted model, not a curated record. Lineage: Eukaryota; Viridiplantae; Streptophyta; Magnoliopsida; Rosales; Cannabaceae.
AUUUCAAAAAAUCAUUGAUUGAGAAUGAUUAAGGAUCGGCCAUUACUGUAGAGAAUUGAAUUGGAUUUCAUCUCAGCAGUUUAUUUAUUUGCCAUUUUUUUCUCUCAAAUUCAAAUCUCUAUUGCGAUUUACCCUGUAUUUGAAUUCUUUGAAGAAUAAAUUAAAGCAGCCCAGAACGAGAAGGAUGAGCAGUCGAUUGGAUAAUCCUCUUCAAUACGAUGGAGCACAAUUGCUCCGAUUGGUCCGAUUUGUUGCUCUGAUUGAUCUAAUUCGGUCAAGGCCAGCACGAUAAUUAGUUGAGGCUCUUCAAUACAGCAGUCGAUUGGUGGAGGCUCUUCAAUACGAUGGAGCACGAUUGCUCCGAUUCGUUCAAGGCAAGCAUUACGAGCAGUCGAACUACAACAGACUCGUUUGGGGACAUGUGCAGGACUUAUCUUCUUUCAGAUAAAUCUACAGGUUGGUUUUCUUGUGUCUGAUUAUGAAUAGUCUAUGGUUUGUUCAAUUUUAAAUUUAAUUAUUUGUUUUUAUGUAGAAAAUAUGUAUGUUUUGAAAUGUACCGUAAUUGAAAUGAGCACAUAAAUUCUCAUAUGGGAAUUUAGAUUAAUUUUGGGAUAUAUAUAUAUAUCAUAUCUAUCCAAUAAAAAAAAGAGUGGAAAAAGAAAUUGAACUAUUUAGCGGGUACUCCCGAUGAAUCAAGAGAUGGUGUUGAUCGAAGUGAUGUGAAGCCUUUACAAAUUAUUCAGCCAAAAGGUCAAAGCUUUUGUGUCAAUGGAUACUUUAUUGAAUGGCAAAAGGUAAUUAUUUAUUUAUUUGGUAUUUGUAAGUUUAAGUUAUAAGUGUUCUUUUUGUUUAUGAAAUUUCUAUUGUCCAAUUCAAUCUUAUUAUUAUUCUAUAUUUAUCUUUUUAAUUUUUUAAUUUACGUGAUAUUAUUUAUAUUUAUUCUUCUAAAAUAAUUUUGAAUACAGGAACUUUCCCAUGAACAAUUUGUCUGACCCAUGGCCCCUAGAAAUAGAGAUUUUAAACAAAUUAGAAGUAUCGUAUGUAGUACGGAUUGUAUAUCAUUCCAUUUAUCUAUUCCACUGAGAUAAAUCCUAAUUUCUUUCUUUAUAUUGCUUACUUGACAGUGGUAUUACUAAUUGUGGGGUUAGUAAAGAGAUUCCUUCUACCUUUGAAAAUCUCUAAAAUUUACAAGAAUUGUAUACUGUAAAUAAUCAGGCGGUUGAAAGAUGUAUUUACUGCAAGCUCUUCUCUUUGAUUUAUCAUUAAUAUGAAGUCUCUUUCAAUCUUAAGUGUAACAUGUUUUAAUCAUAAUCAUAAGUACAGUUCAUAAGUACUUCUAAUAUUACUAAUUUUUUAGUAUUAUUAAUAACAAUGUGUACAUCAUAAGUUUAUAUAUACAAUUAUGACAUUCUUAACAAGUCUAUUUUUAUAAAACAAAUAAUAAAAAUAAUUUACAAUUAGUUACCGAAUUUUUUUAAAAAAAUCACUAAAACUUAAAUAAAGCUAAUAUUUACGUGGCUCGCCACGUAACUUUCGUAAUUGCAGUAAUGAAGCAGUGUUAGUAUACAUUGUGGCUUUAUAAUGAGGAGAUGAGAUUUCAGUUAGCAUUGUUAAAAUUCAUGACUUCUGGUAGGCUGACAGUGGUAGCUUCUUAGGAAUACUUGUACACAUUAAUUUUAAUUUUGCUCUGUUUUAGACUCCAUAUCUAAGAUUUCUCCUUGGUAGUGAGAAUGUUCAUUCAAGUGUUAGUUAUUCUUAAUUUUGUAAUAUUUGUAAUAUAUAUCUAAGAUUUCUUCUUGGUAGUGAUAAUGUUCCUUCAAGUGUUAGUUAUUCUUAAUUUUGUAAUAUUUGUUUUUCCAGGUCAAAGAUGUUCUUGCUGCUAUUAUUUUAAGAGCUGGAACAAAUGCAACAUAUAUUAUAACCUUAUUAUUAUUGUUUCCAAUAUGUUUUUACUAACAUUUGUAGUUUAAUUUAAACUCCAUUAUACUGGACAUAAAAGUUUAAUUUAAAUUUAUUAUUCAAAUC